RNAcentral lists this ribosomal RNA (602 nucleotides) under Mycogloea nipponica. Its description in RNAcentral is "LSU rRNA". It matches the Rfam family "Eukaryotic large subunit ribosomal RNA", at positions 49 to 640 of the family's 3401-position model. The record is from RNAcentral. Lineage: Eukaryota; Fungi; Basidiomycota; Spiculogloeomycetes; Spiculogloeales; Spiculogloeaceae.
AGCGGAGGAAAAGAAACUAACAAGGAUUCCUCUAGUAACGGCGAGUAAGCAGGAAUAGCUCAACUUUGAAAUCUGGCCCUUUCAGGGUCCGAGUUGUAGUCUCGAGAAGCAACGUCCGCGCCGGACCUUGGGUAUGUUGGUUGGAAAACCACGUCAAAGAGGGUGACAAUCCCGUUUGUACCAAGGACGCCCGUGUGCAUUGUGAUGUGCUUUCCAAGAGUCGAGUUGUUUGGGAAUGCAGCUCAAAUCGGGUGGUAAAUUCCAUCUAAAGCUAAAUAUUGGCGAGAGACCGAUAGCGAACAAGUACCGUGAGGGAAAGAUGAAAAGCACUUUGGAAAGAGAAUGAAACAGUAUGUGAAAUUGCUGGAAGGGAAACGAUUGAGGUUAGACUUGCUGGCCCGGUCCUCAGCCCUCACGGGUGUAUUGGCCGGGCGUUGCAGGCCAGCAUCGGUUUGUUGUCGGGUAAAAGGGUGCGGGGGAUGUAGCAGCCUCGGCUGUGUUAUAAACCCGCACUGGAUGCCCCAUCGCAGACCGAGGUACGCAGGGCGCCGCAAGGCAGGGCCUCUUGGCCCCGAGCCCUUAGGAUGCUGGUAGAAUAGCCU